GCCCUGCUUCCAGGAAAAGCCUCUAAGCAUCAGGUAACAUCAAAUCGUACCCCAAACCGACACAGGUGGUCAGGUAGAGAAUACCAAGGCGCUUGAGAGAACUCGGGUGAAGGAACUAGGCAAAAUGGUGCCGUAACUUCGGGAGAAGGCACGCUGAUAUGUAGGUGAAGUCCCUCGCGGAUGGAGCUGAAAUCAGUCGAAGAUACCAGCUGGCUGCAACUGUUUAUUAAAAACACAGCACUGUGCAAACACGAAAGUGGACGUAUACGGUGUGACGCCUGCCCGGUGCCGGAAGGUUAAUUGAUGGGGUUAGCGCAAGCGAAGCUCUUGAUCGAAGCCCCGGUAAACGGCGGCCGUAACUAUAACGGUCCUAAGGUAGCGAAAUUCCUUGUCGGGUAAGUUCCGACCUGCACGAAUGGCGUAAUGAUGGCCAGGCUGUCUCCACCCGAGACUCAGUGAAAUUGAACUCGCUGUGAAGAUGCAGUGUACCCGCGGCAAGACGGAAAGACCCCGUGAACCUUUACUAUAGCUUGACACUGAACAUUGAGCCUUGAUGUGUAGGAUAGGUGGGAGGCUUUGAAGUGUGGACGCCAGUCUGCAUGGAGCCGACCUUGAAAUACCACCCUUUAAUGUUUGAUGUUCUAACGUUGACCCGUAAUCCGGGUUGCGGACAGUGUCUGGUGGGUAGUUUGACUGGGGCGGUCUCCUCCUAAAGAGUAACGGAGGAGCACGAAGGUUGGCUAAUCCUGGUCGGACAUCAGGAGGUUAGUGCAAUGGCAUAAGCCAGCUUGACUGCGAGCGUGACGGCGCGAGCAGGUGCGAAAGCAGGUCAUAGUGAUCCGGUGGUUCUGAAUGGAAGGGCCAUCGCUCAACGGAUAAAAGGUACUCCGGGGAUAACAGGCUGAUACCGCCCAAGAGUUCAUAUCGACGGCGGUGUUUGGCACCUCGAUGUCGGCUCAUCACAUCCUGGGGCUGAAGUAGGUCCCAAGGGUAUGGCUGUUCGCCAUUUAAAGUGGUACGCGAGCUGGGUUUAGAACGUCGUGAGACAGUUCGGUCCCUAUCUGCCGUGGGCGCUGGAGAACUGAGGGGGGCUGCUCCUAGUACGAGAGGACCGGAGUGGACGCAUCACUGGUGUUCGGGUUGUCAUGCCAAUGGCACUGCCCGGUAGCUAAAUGCGGAAGAGAUAAGUGCUGAAAGCAUCUAAGCACGAAACUUGCCCCGAGAUGAGUUCUCCCUGACUCCUUGAGAGUCCUGAAGGAACGUUGAAGACGACGACGUUGAUAGGCCGGGUGUGUAAGCGCAGCGAUGCGUUGAGCUAACCGGUACUAAUGAACCGUGAGGCUUAACCUU
Molecule: ribosomal RNA, 1350 nt
Filed under: Escherichia coli NCCP15657
Lineage: Bacteria; Pseudomonadati; Pseudomonadota; Gammaproteobacteria; Enterobacterales; Enterobacteriaceae
Description: bacterial LSU rRNA
Rfam family: Bacterial large subunit ribosomal RNA
Source: RNAcentral